Molecule: ribosomal RNA, 485 nt
Filed under: uncultured bacterium
Lineage: Bacteria
Description: partial 16S ribosomal RNA
Rfam family: Bacterial small subunit ribosomal RNA
Source: RNAcentral
AGUGAACGCUGGCGGCGUGCUUAACACAUGCAAGUCGAACGAGAACGGAAUAUAGCUUGCUAUUUUUGUCAGCUAAGUGGCGCACGGGUGAGUAAUGUAUAGAUAACCUGCCCUUAAGAAAGGAAUAACAGUUGGAAACGACUGCUAAUGCCCUAUAUGCCUUUAAUACAUAAGUAUGCAAGGGAAACGCUUUAGUGCUUAAGGAUGGGGCUGUAUGGUAUCAGCUUGUUGGUGAGGUAAUGGCUCACCAAGGCUACGACGCCUAACUGGUUUGAGAGGAUGAUCAGACACACUGGAACUGAGACACGGUCCAGACUACUACGGGAGGCAGCAGUGGGGAAUAUUGCACAAUGGACGAAAGUCUGAUGCAGCAACGCCGCGUGGAGGAUGACACAUUUCGGUGCGUAAACUCCUUUUAUAUAGGAAGAUAAUGACGGUACUAUAUGAAUAAGCACCGGCUAACUCCGUGCCAGCAGCCGCCGUAA